AUGCCUAACACAUGCAAGUCGAACGAGACCUUCGGGUCUAGUGGCGCACGGGUGCGUAACGCGUGGGAAUCUGCCCUUAGGUCCGGAAUAACUCAGGGAAACUUGAGCUAAUACCGGAUGAUGUCUUCGGACCAAAGAUUUAUCGCCUAGGGAUGAGCCCGCGUCGGAUUAGCUAGUUGGUGAGGUAAAAGCUCACCAAGGCGACGAUCCGUAGCUGGUCUGAGAGGAUGAUCAGCCACACUGGGACUGAGACACGGCCCAGACUCCUACGGGAGGCAGCAGUGGGGAAUAUUGGACAAUGGGCGAAAGCCUGAUCCAGCAAUGCCGCGUGAGUGAUGAAGGCCUUAGGGUUGUAAAGCUCUUUUACCCGGGAUGAUAAUGACAGUACCGGGAGAAUAAGCACCGGCUAAC
RNAcentral lists this ribosomal RNA (411 nucleotides) under uncultured bacterium. Its description in RNAcentral is "bacterial SSU rRNA". It matches the Rfam family "Bacterial small subunit ribosomal RNA", at positions 44 to 501 of the family's 1533-position model. The record is from RNAcentral.